This 19-nucleotide small nuclear RNA is filed under the name Arabidopsis thaliana (thale cress). RNAcentral's name for it is "snRNA_04478". The record is from RNAcentral. Lineage: Eukaryota; Viridiplantae; Streptophyta; Magnoliopsida; Brassicales; Brassicaceae.
AAGAUGAAAAGGACUUUGA